CAAGAGCGUAUGUAAAAGUUGUUGCAGUUAAAAAGCUCGUAGUUGAACCUUGGGUUUGGUUGGCCGGUCCGCUUUUUUGCGAGUACUGGAUUCAACCGAGCCUUUCCUUCUGGCUAACCAGUCGUUUCGGCGGCUGGCGAACCAGGAUUCUUACUUUGAGAAAAUUAGAGUGUUCAAAGCAGGCAUUAGCUUGAAUAUAUUAGCAUGGAAUAAUAGAAUAGGACGUUAUGGUUCUAUUUUGUUGGUUUCUAGGACCAUCGUAAUGAUUAAUAGGGACGGUCGGGGGCAUCAGUAUUCAGUUGUCAGAGGUGAAAUUCUUGGAUUUACUGAAGACUAACUACUGCGAAAGCAUUUGCCAAGGACGUUUUCAUUAA
RNAcentral lists this ribosomal RNA (374 nucleotides) under uncultured eukaryote. RNAcentral describes it as "partial 18S ribosomal RNA". It matches the Rfam family "Eukaryotic small subunit ribosomal RNA", at positions 592 to 976 of the family's 1831-position model. The record is from RNAcentral.